CGCUCGUAGCUCAACCGGAUAGAGCAUCGGCCUUCUAAGCCGACGGUUGCAGGUUCUUAGUUCUGGUGGAGUGA
Molecule: transfer RNA, 74 nt
Filed under: Thioalkalivibrio versutus
Lineage: Bacteria; Pseudomonadati; Pseudomonadota; Gammaproteobacteria; Chromatiales; Ectothiorhodospiraceae
Description: tRNA-Arg
Source: RNAcentral